GCGCACGUGGCGAAAUGGUAGACGCGCAGCGUUGAGGUCGCUGUGUCUGAUUUAAGGACGUGCUGGUUCAAGUCCAGUCGUGCGCA
Molecule: transfer RNA, 86 nt
Filed under: Candidatus Ancillula kalotermitis
Lineage: Bacteria; Bacillati; Actinomycetota; Actinomycetes; Bifidobacteriales; Bifidobacteriaceae
Description: tRNA-Leu
Rfam family: tRNA
About the family: Transfer RNA (tRNA) molecules are approximately 80 nucleotides in length. Their secondary structure includes four short double-helical elements and three loops (D, anti-codon, and T loops).
Source: RNAcentral